Molecule: ribosomal RNA, 887 nt
Filed under: uncultured bacterium
Lineage: Bacteria
Description: bacterial SSU rRNA
Rfam family: Bacterial small subunit ribosomal RNA
Source: RNAcentral
UCGACGAUGAAUCUUCUAGCUUGCUAGAAGUGGAUUAGUGGCGCACGGGUGAGUAAUGCAUAGGUUAUGUGCCCUUUAGUCUGGGAUAGCCACUGGAAACGGUGAUUAAUACUGGAUACUCCCUACGGGGGAAAGUUUUUCGCUAAAGGAUCAGCCUAUGUCCUAUCAGCUUGUUGGUGAGGUAAUGGCUCACCAAGGCUAUGACGGGUAUCCGGCCUGAGAGGGUGAUCGGACACACUGGAACUGAGGCACGGUCCAGACUCCUACGGGAGGCAGCAGUAGGGAAUAUUGCUCAAUGGGGGAAACCCUGAAGCAGCAACGCCGCGUGGAGGAUGAAGGUUUUAGGAUUGUAAACUCCUUUUGUUAGAGAAGAUUAUGACGGUAUCUAACGAAUAAGCACCGGCUAACUCCGUGCCAGCAGCCGCGGUAAUACGGAGGGUGCAAGCGUUACUCGGAAUCACUGGGCGUAAAGAGUGCGUAGGCGGGGUAAUAAGUCAGAUGUGAAAUCCUGUAGCUUAACUACAGAACUGCAUUUGAAACUGUUACUCUGGAGUGUGGGAGAGGUAGGUGGAAUUCUUGGUGUAGGGGUAAAAUCCGUAGAGAUCAAGAGGAAUACUCAUUGCGAAGGCGACCUGCUGGAACAUUACUGACGCUGAUGCACGAAAGCGUGGGGAGCAAACAGGAUUAGAUACCCUGGUAGUCCACGCCCUAAACGAUGGAUGCUAGUUGUUGCCUUGCUUGUCAGGGCAGUAAUGCAGCUAACGCAUUAAGCAUCCCGCCUGGGGAGUACGGUCGCAAGAUUAAAACUCAAAGGAAUAGACGGGGACCCGCACAAGCGGUGGAGCAUGUGGUUUAAUUCGAAGAUACGCGAAGAACCUUACCUAGGC